RNAcentral lists this ribosomal RNA (253 nucleotides) under uncultured bacterium. Its description in RNAcentral is "partial 16S ribosomal RNA". It matches the Rfam family "Bacterial small subunit ribosomal RNA", at positions 524 to 776 of the family's 1533-position model. The record is from RNAcentral.
UACAGAGGGCUCAAGCGUUGUUCGGAUUCAUUGGGCGUAAAGGGUGCGUAGGUGGCUUGGUAAGUUGAAGGUGAAAUCUCGGAGCUCAACUCCGAAACUGCCUUCAAUACUGCUGUGCUUGAGGACUGUAGAGGAGAAUGGAAUUCACGGUGUAGCAGUGAAAUGCGUAGAUAUCGUGAGGAAGACCAGUGGCGAAGGCGGGCUUCUGGUUGACAUCUGACGCUGAGGUGCGAAAGCUAGGGGAGCGAACGGG